RNAcentral lists this long non-coding RNA (1017 nucleotides) under Ailuropoda melanoleuca (giant panda). RNAcentral's name for it is "lncRNA (ENSAMEG00000030466.1)". Lineage: Eukaryota; Metazoa; Chordata; Mammalia; Carnivora; Ursidae. The record is from RNAcentral.
ACCCACGUGGCUCUCCUCUCCCUCGCACUUCCGGGUUCUCAGGGAACGUGCGCACCAGCGUGCGUGCGCGUGACCGCCGCAAGCAACGGGCUCGUGAGCGCGCUGCUGCCUGGACCGCGCCUGGGCCUUAGAGAGAACACCCGUAAGGGCCAAGGAAGGAGGAAAGCGGCCCGUCUUCAGCUCCUGAGCAACGUCGGCUCUUCGGUUCCCGCAGCGCUGACUAUUCGGACCUUUAGGGCAGAACGACAGACGUUCAACUCGCUGCACCGCGGACCUGACUGCGUUCUGAGCUUUCUAGUGGCAGGCGCUUGACAAUGCAAAACCUGAAUCUGGUAAGUCUAUUUCCAUGACUCCCACUUACUCACACAGUCUUGAGGCUGUUUCUAAUUCUGCAGCCCUAGAAACCUCAAGUUGUCUGGUUCUGGUUCACUGUAAAGGCAUGGGGAUGCUUUUUGAUAUCGUAGUGAACCAGAGUAUCUAAAACCUGAAGUAUCCCAAGUUAAAGAUGUCCUGGCUCAUUCCUAUUAGUGUCUUUAGGAUGGAAGAUCGCUCCAGAUCUGGCCAGACUGCUUGCAAGUUGCUGCAGACUGUACUGCCAUUCAUGAGCAUAGACUAAAACUGAACUAGCAUAAGCAACAGAAUGAAAAAGCAACCUAAGGAAAUCAUAUAUCUGAUAAGGGUGUAAUAUCCACAUUAUAUAAAGAAGUCCUACGGCACAGCAACAAAAAACGUAUAUCCCAAUUUUAUUUCUUCCUUUUUAAAAUUUAUUUUUAUUUUUUUAAUUUUAGGUAGGCUCCACACACAAUGUGGGCAUUGAACUCAUGACCUUGAGAUCAAGAGUCACAUACUCUACCAACUGAGCCAGCCAGACACCCCAUAUGUCCCAAUUUCAAAAUGGGCAAAGAAGAUAUACAAAUGGGCAACAAGCAUAUGAAACAAUGCUCAAUAUCACUAAUCAAAACCACAGUGAAAUGUCACCUUGUACUCAUUAGGAUACCUACUAUCAAAAAAUCAGAA